Spea bombifrons (plains spadefoot toad) is the source of this 127-nucleotide small nucleolar RNA. RefSeq annotates it as small nucleolar RNA SNORA65. Lineage: Eukaryota; Metazoa; Chordata; Amphibia; Anura; Pelobatidae. The transcript has a single exon. The record is from RefSeq and is a predicted model, not a curated record.
CCCGCCACUAUGCCAGCCUGAUCCGCGUGGCUCGGUGUAUUCCAGUGGUGAGCUUAGAGUAACCUCACUUCAGGAAACAGAACACUUCUCCGCGUGGAAUGCUCUGUGCCGAAAGCUGAGAACAGCG